AUUGAACGCUGGCGGCAGGCCUAACACAUGCAAGUCGAGCGAGCGGAGGACGGGUGAGUAAUGUAUGGGGACUGCCUGAUAGAGGGGGAUAACUACUGGAAACGGUGGCUAAUACCGCAUACUAUAGGCUACCCCAUAUGGGAUUGGCUAGUAGGUGGGGUAAAGGCAUACUUAGGCGACGAUUUCUAGCUGGUCUGAGAGGAUGAUCAGCCACACUGGGACUGAGACACGGCCCAGACUCCUACGGAGGAAGCAGUGGGGAAUAUUGCACAAUGGGCGCAAGCCUGAUGCAGCCAUGCCGCGUGUAUGAAGAAGGCCUUAGGGUUGUAAAGUACUUUCAGCGGGGAGGCGUUACCCGCAGAAGAAGCACCGGCUAACUCCGUGCCAGCAGCCGCGGUAAUUC
RNAcentral lists this ribosomal RNA (403 nucleotides) under uncultured bacterium. RNAcentral describes it as "partial 16S ribosomal RNA". It matches the Rfam family "Bacterial small subunit ribosomal RNA", at positions 30 to 526 of the family's 1533-position model. The record is from RNAcentral.